RNAcentral lists this ribosomal RNA (260 nucleotides) under uncultured dinoflagellate. RNAcentral's name for it is "partial 18S ribosomal RNA". The stretch from base 82 to 260 matches the Rfam family "Eukaryotic small subunit ribosomal RNA", at positions 723 to 903 of the family's 1831-position model. Lineage: Eukaryota; Dinophyceae. The record is from RNAcentral.
UUUCUGCCAAGGCUGGCCGGUCCGCCCUUUGGGUGAGUAUCUGGUUUGGCUGGAGCAUAUUCUUGGAGGGUAUGGCUGCACUUGAUUGUGUGGUGUGCAACCCAAGACUUUUACUUUGAGGAAAUUAGAGUGUUUCAAGCAGGCUCAUGCCUUGAAUACAUUAGCAUGGAAUAAUAGCAUAAGGCCUUGGCUGUAUUUUGUUGGUUUCUACAGCUAAGGUAAUGAUGAACAGGGAUACUUGGGGGCAUACGAAUUUAAUU